GGGCCCGCACAAGCGGUGGAGUAUGUGGUUUAAUUCGAUGCAACGCGAAGAACCUUACCAGGGUUUGACAUCCUGCGAAUCUCUUGGAAACAGGAGAGUGCCUUCGGGAACGCAGUGACAGGUGGUGCAUGGCUGUCGUCAGCUCGUGUCGUGAGAUGUUGGGUUAAGUCCCGCAACGAGCGCAACCCACGUCUUUAGUUGCCAGCAUUUAGUUGGGCACUCUAGAGAGACUGCCGGUGAUAAACCGGAGGAAGGUGUGGAUGACGUCAAGUCAUCAUGCCCCUUACAUCCUGGGCUACACACGUACUACAAUGCUACGGACAAAGGGCAGCAAGUUCGCAAGGUGGAGCCAAUCCCUAAAAGGUUGCCUCAGUUCGGAUUGGAGUCUGCAACUCGACUCCAUGAAGUUGGAAUCGCUAGUAAUCGCGGAUC
RNAcentral lists this ribosomal RNA (432 nucleotides) under uncultured bacterium. Its description in RNAcentral is "bacterial SSU rRNA". It matches the Rfam family "Bacterial small subunit ribosomal RNA", at positions 917 to 1350 of the family's 1533-position model. The record is from RNAcentral.